Dromaius novaehollandiae (emu) is the source of this 6713-nucleotide long non-coding RNA. RefSeq lists it as uncharacterized. The transcript is spliced from 2 exons. The record is from RefSeq and is a predicted model, not a curated record. Lineage: Eukaryota; Metazoa; Chordata; Aves; Casuariiformes; Dromaiidae.
GCGCUCGGGCAAGAUGGCGGCGAGCAGGGCGGGUGUUUUGGCUGGACGGCGGCGGGCGAGGGCAGAGGCGCGCUGGAGUCGAGCAUGUGGGGGCCGCGGUGAGGCGAGGGCCCCGGUUCCUCCCCAGCGCGGGCCGGGGCGUGCGCUCGCCCCUGCGGACGCAGCCUGGAGGAGCGGGGGGGCAGGCGGGCCCCGGAGCGGGAUUAGGGCACGGCGUCGGCGGGAGGACGGCUCCUGAUGCAAUAGGCGUGCCCGAGAGUGCUGGUAGGUCAUGAAGGAGUUUAAAACCUCUGGACCAAAUAGGGUUAAGGUCAACUUGAGUUAGAUACGAUUAGUGCAGCCCCAAGUUAUUUACUUGAGAAUUGUGGCUAGGCAAGCAAGAAGAUGGGUAGAAGACAGAUGCUCCUGGACACCCUGAGGCCUCCCCUGCCCCCAGGCACAGACUGUGGGUACCAGCCGACCUGGGCACCAACUGAUUGGAACCCCCGCUGAGCCCUGCUCCCUCCUGUACAGCUGCCCUAAAGCCAUGAGUUUCCCUGGUGCAGCAUGUGUCGAUGGGUCCUCCAUUGCCUCUGACAUCUCCCCAGGCGCUCGUACGCUGCGCAGGGGUCUGGAUGUUUCCAGCAGCGGCACAGCAGCCUGAUGCCUCCUCUCGUCUGGGAUGCGGGGCCCUUGGUGAGUUCCCUGCUGCCUCCUCUGGCGUCCUCUGCGAGCUCAUAAAUCCCCCCUCCUCCUCCUCCUUCUCCUCCUCCUCCCCCUCCCCCCCCACCCUGUCUGGUGGGGUGGGAGACCCGUGGCUCCUCCUGCCAAGCUGACAGCCACGUGGGGCACCCCUAUGCGCUCCCUACGCAUCUGGGAUGGCACCCCUGCCCUGAGGGCCCCGCAGAGUCCCACCCUUCCUGCAACCACCCCCCCAAAGCCAUUAAACCACACAAUAUCAGGUAAAAAUAUCAGGUAAAAAAAAGGAUUAUUUUUUAAACUAAUACUUGACUAAUUUUGCUCCUUUCCCAGUAUUCUGUAGAGAGUGGCUAUUUUAAAAAGUUAACCAAGUCUGUGUAGUUUUAAUUAGGUGUAUUAAAAAGAUAAAAGAAGGAAAUAUAGCUCACAUUCAAGCACUCAAAUAUGUGAAAAUAGCUGAAAUUGCUCUUACUGCACUAAGCUCAUUAAAUUGACUUGCUGGAAUGUUGCAUAUUAGAAUGAUCAGACCAGAGUGUUAACAGCUUUAAUGCUUUUAUCUGGUGCAGUUCGCCCACCUCCCCACCUGAGGGUUACCGAGCAGGCACAGUCGACUUCCUUUCCGAGGGCUGUGAUGCCGGGCUUCGUGCUGGUGUGUGAACUGCUGCUGUCUGUGCUUAGUGCAAAAAAGAGUAACUAAGACAGACCUUUGUGGUGAGAACCCUUGAUAAAGUUCUGUCGGGAACGCAUCCCGCUGUCCUCGAUAGAAAAGCCACCCUAGAUCUCAAGUUUGAUUCGGUAACUGAUUAAAUGGAUUCUGGUUUAGAUCACGAAUAUAUCACAUAGUCAAAAUUGUGCAAUAUUCUCCAUGAACAGUUAAAGUGAUUAUUUCAUUUUAGACCUUGAAUAAGGAGAUUGAAUGAGCUGGUAAACAUUACUUGGUGUUAAGAUGGUAUGAAAAUUUAAUAUCUUUAUUCUUCAGUCUCGGUGCUGCAGGAGUCUCUCUCUCAUCCUGGUAGAUAAUAUUAAUUGCUGUUUCUCUACCUAUGGAGCAUAUGAGAUUUGCCAUGCAAGCUCAGAAUGAAUGCAGUUAUCCAACAACCUUACACAUUUAGAAAAUACUUUCUGCAGCCAAGACAUAUAGCAAUGUUAUAGCGUAUGUACAACCUAAAAAGACGGUUUCCAGAGAUGUAUAUGUAUACAAGUUUCAGCCUUCUGGGUGUGUGACUAUUCAGAGACUCCCAGCGAACUGUGUCCAGGUUAGCCUGUAGCCAAACAGGCAGACCCAGCACACUGUGCCUGUGGUGUGUUCAAGCCUAAAGAGACUUCAGGUGCACUGUCAUCACCGGGUAUCAUGCUGACACGGUGUCCACAAGGGGUGGAUCUUUUCUGGGCAAUUCACAGCUGCUCUUAGACUACCAAAUAGUCAGAAUCCUAUACGGAAUUAUUAAUGGUUUUGCUACUGGAAAAAAAGAGAAAGACAGAGUACUUGAUCUGCAUAUUCAUAGCCUGAAAGAACAAAAAAGAUAUGGGAUACAGAAAAAAGAAAGAGGAUAAUAAUUUAUUUAAACAUAAAAACAACAUUAAACUACUGCUUCAUUGUUCUACUACCUUUGGCUCACAGAGCUUAAGUUCCUGGGGAAGCAUGGUAAGGGGAUGAAAUAGGAUUUUUUUUCAGUUUUUUUUUAGUAGCAGACUAGUGAAGGUGAUAUGAUCAAGGUCCCUAAUCUUUUUUUUUUUUUCCUCUACCCAAGAAAACUCAGAAGGAUACAUCACUGCUUUGACAGAGAUGGGGAUAAAACAAAAUCAAAAAAAAAAAAGAGCUCCUUUUUCAGGAGCAAUUCCCACUUACUGUGAUUUGAGCUCCUUUUUCAGGAGCAAUUCCCACUUACUGUGAUUUAAGCACCCACUCUGAAGUUCUGGGACUAAGUACAUGGUCCAUAUGCUCUGACUACAAAAAACACUGUCCACAGAGAGCAAGGUCACUGUGAUUACCUAUGUAAAGUUUCCUUCAGGAUGCCCGUUAUCUGGAGAAACCCGUUGUUGCACAUGAUCUAUCUUAUAUUUUCUCAACAUAUAAUACAGCGAUUUCUCAACAUAUAAUACUUGAAGACCAAUAUAAAUAUUGUGUAGAAUGAUACUUUCUAAGUCAUUAAUUUUAAAUCAUAAAUCAAAAAUAUUUUAAAAAGAGAGAUUUGUUCUGCAUUGUCAGAGAAUAACUACUUCUAAAAUAAACUAAAAAGGCUCUAUAAAUGAAUAAAUUUUGCAAUUUUUUGCCUUCAAUAGUGUUCAAAGGUUAAAAAUGAAUUAAAAUUGUAAAAUAAGUGCACUAGCUACUUAUUUCAUUUAUUUUAUCUUUCCCUUUCCUCCUUUGAAUACUCUUUUCCUUAAAUUGUAUUUUCCAGAUAUUGCUAUAUUCCAGUUGUACUUUCUCUUUUUCUAAUAUUCUCUUCGUAAGUAUCCCCUUAAAGCACUUUAAAAAGUAUCUGACGAAUAUCGCUGUUUCUCUGUAUUAUGUGAAUGAUGUUAAUUAUCUUUACUUUUUAAUGGUUUAAAAAUUCAACUUCCCUAACUAAGAGUAUGUUUUUAAAAAAGUAGCGAUUGCACAGGGGAUGCUCCCAUUUUCUAUUUUUGCUUUUCUAGAUUAACGUUCAAAUAUUUCCUGAUAGAAAUGUAUGUUUUUGCAGGUGGAACAUUCCUCUGAUAGGUACAUUUGGUAUUGAAAUGAGUUAGUCCCGUAUAAAUCCUGGCAUAGGACUUUCUUCACUAGUUUUAGAUGGAUCUCUUCUUUCUCAAAGGUAUGGCACUAGGUGAGAAAAAGGUGCCGUCAACCUGUAGUUAUAUUUAUACCCGUCGAGGGGUGGGGAUCUUUAUGUAGAAAGGGGACACACAAAAGUGUAGCGAAGGGGCAUAUUUUUCUAAAUGUGCCCAGGAAACCUAUGAGAUAGGUGACACAGAGAAUUCAGAGGCCUUAAAACAGUGUCACCAUUUGAAAAGCAAAUUAUAAGCUGCAGGAGUGUGUGCACUCCUGCAAUGCUUAACAUAACCACAGUCUUCACUUUGAAGUAUGCCUGACUAUUGGCUUACAUCCCGUUUUCAUGUAGCAAUAUCCAGGGUAACACAAAUCUGGCUCCAACUGUAAUGUACGUAGGAGACAGCGAGUAUUAAGACACCAAAGAAUUCAAAAUGUUUGAAUCUGGAAGGACGAAAGAACAGCGUACUCAGUGAUCAGCCUUUCAGGUGAAGGAGACAACAGCUGUGGUUUUGGUCCCUGUUCCCUUGAUUAUUUCUGUAUGCAUGGGUUAGUGACUAUCUCAUCUAAUUAAAAAUAAACACUGUGAUCGAGGAUCAAAACUCACAGGUCCCUCUUUUCCUUGACAAAGCCGUAACUAAAUGCUGUUGAAUAUGUGUGAUAUGUUAUGUGCAGAGCCCUUUAAGAUUCCAUCUGAUUUCUUUGAUCUUGUUUUAGGGUGCUUUCAGUGUAUUUCCAGUGAGCUAUAGUUUGCUCAAAUAUGUAUAUGUAUUUAUGUAUAUGUUAACAUAUAUAUGUUUUAAAUUCCUCUUCCCUUUGCAUUACUCUACUGAUUUUUUUUCUUAUAACUGUCUCCCAUGUCAAGAAGAUUUAACAAAAUGAAAAGUAUGUCUUCAUAGGAUAAAGACACAUUUUUGUUAGUUACCGUAAUACAGACAUGAAAGGAAAGAUAAAAGAAAAGAGAAGUAGUUCUUCAGAUAAAGUCCGUUAAGUAUUCAUAAUGUGAUGACAUAGGUGAUUGUGAUAUUAUCUAGACAGAAGAGCUCUGCCGAAGGUAGCUUUCAGACAAUUAUAUUGGUAAAAAGAAAAACUGGUAAAAGCUGAUGAAGUCAUUAAAUUUUCAAAAGUUACAAAUUAUCCUGUAAAGCUUCAGUGACUGCAAAUUAGCCUUUGCUAUAGCCCUCUGCUAACAAGCUAUAGAUCAUUUUAUUAUUCAUGAAUUUUAGUAAUUUCAGGACACCACAGGUCAUCUUAUGCUCAUUUAUUUGCUAAACACCUUGUGCUGGUAUGCCUAUGCUGAAAAAUUGCUACUAUUUACUUCCCGUGAGACAAGCAAGCAACAAACUGGUGGAUUUGGCCCCAGACAUCCACUCUGCCAGGCAACAUAUACAUCUUGCUGUCAGUGAAAUAAAUGAGCCCUUAAAUUGGCUGCAAAGCUUUAAGAGCUGAAAUUUGUAUGUCUAGUUAUCAAACAGAAAGUUCAGAACACCUGCCAAUAUGAAACAUAAUUAUGACAAGCUGUUACAUUUUACCUUUAAUUUUUCAGCUUUAACACCACAACUUCAUUAUAAGAAUCUCCUCCUCCCUGCCCCUCCUUUCUCCCUUCCCCCAGACUCAGCUCCCCUCCCAAAAAACGCUCACUGCAUUCCAUUGUAAAUGCUGAGUUAACGCUAAUACACUGGGUCAUCUAUCAGCAGACAAAAAAAAAAGUCAGACAUAUUAAAAAUGCUAGGAUUCCUCCUAAGAAUAACCACAAAUUUUCACAGAUUACCAAAAAUGGCUAACUGUGUGUAGAUACCUGACCUUUAUAACCGCCUUUGAAGGCUUUUCAGAGAAAGUCAAAAAUCAUGAAACAGACUUACAGAUUCCUUGUUUUGUUUUUUACUUGAAAAAAUCGAUUCAAUUACUUCUAUCUUAUUUCACUGACCGACUUCAUUAUCUUUCCUUUUGGGUCGCAGAGCCCUACGGCACAGGUUUUUGCCACAACAAAUCCAACAAUUGAUAAGCUGUUUGCUGUUUAUCCAAAUGUUCAUGGGAGGGCAAAAAAAGAAAAAAGCCACCAAAAAUAAAUGUUACUCUUCUUUAAACCCACUUUAAACUAUGCCCUGUGUGCACUAUAACUAAAUAUCUUCCCUUGUGUGCAUGUAUACCUCUGUGUUACAAACCACAAACAGCUAUGUGAGAAGAACACUAUUUAAAGGAAAGACUUUCUUCUUAGCUGUCAAGGAAGAUAAUAUCUAGGCUAAAAUUCAUUUCAACAUUUUUUAUAGAUAUAUAUAUAUAUGUAUAUAUACACAUAUACACACAAUAUGUAUAUAUCAAUAUGAAGAGCUUAAAAAUUACAACCCUUGACCAAUUGCACCCUUCUGGUCAAUAAAGUAAAUAUGAGCAAUAUGAGAAACAAAUCAAAUGUAUGAACUUUACCUCUUUUAUUACUUUGACCAUAUUAUUUCUUUUUUUAUAGCACCUGCAUACUGUAUUUUCAUUCAAGAAAUUUGAUUGCGGAUAAAGUAGUCCCUACAUGUCAUAGCAAAAAAAUGACACACUAGCCAAAGUUUAAGUCAAUGUAUUAGUCAAAACACACCUUCUUUUCUUCUUUUUCUGACCUUUUGCUACAGACAUAGAAAUCUCACAUAUAUUUUGGGGUUAACAGGACUUCAGCAGGGCAAUCUGUGUUUUAAGCAGGGUUUCUUGCUGGUUCAGAUAUAUUGUUUGUUCAGUGUUGGGAUCCUAUGUAUUCAUACUGCGUUUUGUGUACUGAUAAUGAAUUAAAACAGCAGAAAAUCAUAUACGUAUAUUUUAAAUGUGACAUGUCUGAUUUCAUUUUAAUGUGAUUUGAAAUAUUUCACCCUGAAUUUAUAAAAAAAAUCAUUAGCACAGCUAUACGCAUUGUCUUUUCAUGAUUUUAAUUUCUUAUUCUUCAAUUAAAAAUAUGCUAAAAGCAGAUUUUGCUUAAAUUCUGAGAUAGUUUGGAUAGACUUAGGACCAAAUUGUGGCUGCUUUCUGUGUGCAAGCUUUGACUAGAAAGGUGACACAAACAAACAUUUCUACCUGGUUUUCAAGGAUAUGUCAAUAAGGUCUAUUCACACCAGUGCACCAUUUAGCACCACCUGCGUUCAUGGAAAUCCAGAAGUAGCACAUGCCUCUGUUCACAGAAAUCUCAGCCAGCUUUCUCUGAUGCCUCGUACAACCAUCACUGCAGCCACCACUGUCGAGCUAAUUCAACUCUUCCAAAAAUCAGCAACUGCUGAUAAAUUCUUGUCUUAAUAUAAAAGUUGUGUUUCAA